This 460-nucleotide ribosomal RNA is filed under the name uncultured bacterium. RNAcentral's name for it is "partial 16S ribosomal RNA". It matches the Rfam family "Bacterial small subunit ribosomal RNA", at positions 338 to 795 of the family's 1533-position model. The record is from RNAcentral.
CCUACGGGUGGCUGCAGUGAGGAAUAUUGGUCAAUGGACGAGAGUCUGAACCAGCCAAGUAGCGUGAAGGAUGACUGCCCUAUGGGUUGUAAACUUCUUUUAUAUGGGAAUAAAAUGUUCCACGUGUGGGAUUUUGUAUGUACCAUAUGAAUAAGGAUCGGCUAACUCCGUGCCAGCAGCCGCGGUAAGACGGAGGUUCCGAGCGUUAUCCGGAUUUAUUGGGUUUAAAGGGAGCGUAGGUGGAUUGUUAAGUCAGUUGUGAAAGUUUGCGGCUCAACCGUAAAAUUGCAGUUGAAACUGGCAGUCUUGAGGACAGUAGAGGUGGGCGGAAUUCGAGGUGUAGCGGUGAAAUGCGUAGAUAUCUCGAAGAACUCCAGUUGCGAAAGCAGCUCACUGGACUGCAACUGACACUGAGGCUCGAAAGUGUGGGUAGCAAACAGGAUUAGAUACCCUUGUAGUC